Molecule: long non-coding RNA, 1170 nt
Organism: Ipomoea triloba (trilobed morning glory)
Lineage: Eukaryota; Viridiplantae; Streptophyta; Magnoliopsida; Solanales; Convolvulaceae
Exons: 3
Source: RefSeq, a predicted model, not a curated record
UUUUUCGAGUAAAGUUUGAAGAAAUCCUCUAUGAUGUCUUUCCCGAAGUGAUCCUCGAUUAGUCCCUGGAAAACAGCCCUUGUGAGUAAAAUACCCCUUUCGACAUCUGCUGCUGCUUCCUUUGUAAAUGGAUUAGGCAGGAUCCGAGAAUGGCGGUAUUCAUACCCAUGCCACACUCGGAGGGAAGGACGCCAUCAGGAAUCCCGAUUACUAUGAUCACCAUUAAACCUCCAGGAACGAGUUCAUCUCCCCGUGCAUCCAGAAAGGGGAGUUUUUAUCCACGAUUUCCUUAGGGAGCCUCGAGAGAUACAUAAGCGCGCAAGAGCAGUGCCCGAGAUGCAGGGAGCCCUUCGGAAAAAGGCGGCCAUGGAAGGAACCUGGAACAUAUGAAAUCCAACAAAGUAAUCAUCCUUUCAUUCGUUCCAUGCAAGAAAGAUUGAGUUCCUUACCGGGUACCCCAGCAGUAAAAUGGCGAGGGCGGUUAGUAGGCAUGUUUCUGAACAGAACAUUGAAAUCAUUCUCAGCGAGAUCAUUAAAGAAGACAUGAAACUCUGGUAUCCCCGAUUCCUCCUGCCAUUUCUUGCAGUAUUUUCGCUGCACUGCUUCAGAAAUGUUCUGCACUGCCAUGAACGUGUUUGGUCCCGUAGAACAGCCAAAAUCUGCCAUUUGAAACGGUUUAGAGGGGUCGAAGCAAGAGCUUUCAACAUCAAGAUGCUGCUCAAUUAGCUCAAUGGUGAGUUGCUUUGAGUAAUUCACUAGUUGUUUCUGCAUUUAAAAAAAAAAAAACAUGAUCAACUUACAUGUCAUGAAAUUUUCCAGAAAAUUCAUGAAUUUAUGCUACCUGGUACUUGGAAUUUUUUGUGUAGCUUUCAGGGCCAUCACCACCGUUCAUGUGGAUUUUGCAUGCAGGCUCAUUGGUCAUCUUAUGAUCCAUUUUGCCUUUUGCUGUGUUAUGGCUUGAGGCUCUUACACUAUAUAGAAUGCAAUCUUUGUGCCCAGUGAUACCAAUGUCGCGUAGUGGAGUUGGGUGAUCGGACAUUAGAUUCUUUUGCCAUCAAUUUUCAUUAUUUGAAAAACAAAAAAUAAUGCAAAGCUUACAUCAAGUUUCAUAGGGGACCAACAAUUCAUUAUUGAAAAAUGCUUGAGACAAACCCUAACAAUGUUUGAAGA